AGAGUUUGAUCCUGGCUCAGAACGAACGCUGGCGGCGUGGAUAAGACAUGCAAGUCGAACGGAACAUCAUGAGUAGCAAUACAAGUGAUGUUUAGUGGCGAACGGGUGCGUAACACGUGGAUACAUUCCGGGAAGCGGGGGAUAGCCCAGGGAAACUUGGAUUAAUACCGCAUGUGAUCGAGAGAUCAAAGACGGGGACCGCAAGGCCUGUCACUUCCCGAUUGGUCCGCGGCCUAUCAGCUAGUUGGCGGGGUAAAAGCCCACCAAGGCUACGACGGGUAGCUGGUCUUAGAGGACGACCAGCCACACUGGAACUGAGACACGGUCCAGACACCUACGGGUGGCAGCAGUCGAGAAUCUUUCACAAUGGGGGCAACCCUGAUGGAGCGACGCCGCGUGGAGGAUAAGGUCUUCGGAUUGUAAACUCCUGUCAUGUGAGAACAAGGCUGCCGGGUUAAUAACCUUGCAGAUUGAUGGUACCACAAGAGGAAGAGACGGCUAACUCUGUGCCAGCAGCCGCGGUAAUACAGAGGUCUCAAGCGUUGUUCGGAAUCACUGGGCGUAAAGGGUGCGUAGGUGGCGUGGUAAGUCAGAUGUGAAAGCCCGGGG
This 609-nucleotide ribosomal RNA is filed under the name uncultured freshwater bacterium. RNAcentral's name for it is "bacterial SSU rRNA". It matches the Rfam family "Bacterial small subunit ribosomal RNA", at positions 8 to 607 of the family's 1533-position model. The record is from RNAcentral.